This 20-nucleotide unclassified non-coding RNA is filed under the name Chlamydomonas reinhardtii. RNAcentral describes it as "small RNA Cre_3487". The record is from RNAcentral. Lineage: Eukaryota; Viridiplantae; Chlorophyta; Chlorophyceae; Chlamydomonadales; Chlamydomonadaceae.
UGGUGGGUCUGGGGCUGCUG